Molecule: ribosomal RNA, 253 nt
Filed under: uncultured bacterium
Lineage: Bacteria
Description: partial 16S ribosomal RNA
Rfam family: Bacterial small subunit ribosomal RNA
Source: RNAcentral
UACAGAGACUCCAAGCGUUAUUCGGAUUCACUGGGCGUAAAGGGUGCGCAGGCGGCCAAGUGUGUCUAGGGUGAAAUCCUGCAGCUUAACUGUAGAAUUGCCUUAGAAACUACUUGGCUAGAGUAUCGGAGAGGCAAGCGGAAUUCCAGGUGUAGCAGUGAAAUGCGUAGAUAUCUGGAGGAACACCGAAGGCGAAGGCAGCUUGCUGGACGAUUACUGACGCUCAGGCACGAAAGCAUGGGGAGCGAAAGGG